Molecule: unclassified non-coding RNA, 349 nt
Filed under: soil metagenome
Description: partial contains 5.8S ribosomal RNA, internal transcribed spacer 2, and large subunit ribosomal RNA
Rfam family: 5.8S ribosomal RNA (bases 1-120)
Source: RNAcentral
GAUGAAGAACGCAGUGAACUGCGAUAAGUAAUGUGAAUUGCAGAAUUCAGUGAAUCAUCGAGUCUUUGAACGCACAUUGCGCCCCCUGGCAUUCCGGGGGGCAUGCCUGUCCGAGCGUCAUUGCUGCCCUUCAAGCCCGGCUUGUGUGUUGGGUCGUCGUCCCCCCCGGGGGACGGGCCCGAAAGGCAGCGGCGGCACCGCGUCCGGUCCUCGAGCGUAUGGGGCUUUGUCACCCGCUCGAUUAGGGCCGGCCGGGCGCCAGCCGGCGUCUCCAACCUUCUAUUUUACCAGGUUGACCUCGGAUCAGGUAGGGAUACCCGCUGAACUUAAGCAUAUCAAUAAGCGAGGA